UACGUAGGGUGCGAGCGUUAAUCGGAAUUACUGGGCGUAAAGCGUGCGCAGGCGGUUCGUUGUGUCGGCGGUGAAAGCCCCGGGCUUAACCUGGGAAUGGCCGUCGAAACUGGCGAACUGGAGUGUGGCAGAGGGGGAUGGAAUUCCGCGUGUAGCAGUGAAAUGCGUAGAGAUGCGGAGGAACACCGAUGGCGAAGGCAGUGUCCUGGGGAGUACCUGACGCUCAGGUGCGAAAGCCAGGGGAGCGAACGGG
This 253-nucleotide ribosomal RNA is filed under the name uncultured bacterium. Its description in RNAcentral is "partial 16S ribosomal RNA". It matches the Rfam family "Bacterial small subunit ribosomal RNA", at positions 524 to 776 of the family's 1533-position model. The record is from RNAcentral.